GGGGUUGUAGCUUAGUUGGGAGAGCGUCUGCUUUGCACGCAGAAGGCCAUCGGUUCAAAUCCGAUCAACUCCA
This 73-nucleotide transfer RNA is filed under the name Candidatus Organicella extenuata. RNAcentral describes it as "tRNA-Ala". It matches the Rfam family "tRNA". Rfam says of the family: Transfer RNA (tRNA) molecules are approximately 80 nucleotides in length. Their secondary structure includes four short double-helical elements and three loops (D, anti-codon, and T loops). The record is from RNAcentral. Lineage: Bacteria; Pseudomonadati; Verrucomicrobiota.